RNAcentral lists this ribosomal RNA (406 nucleotides) under uncultured bacterium. Its description in RNAcentral is "partial 16S ribosomal RNA". It matches the Rfam family "Bacterial small subunit ribosomal RNA", at positions 30 to 526 of the family's 1533-position model. The record is from RNAcentral.
AUUGAACGCUAGCGGCAGGCCUAACACAUGCAAGUCGAACGAGUGGCGGACGGGUGAGUAAUAUAUGGGAACGUGCCUGAUGGCGGGGGAUAACUACUAGAAAGAGUGGCUAAUACCGCAUACCAUCAGAUCUGCCCAAAUGGGAUUAGCUAGUUGGUGGGGUAACGGCUCACCAGGGCGACGAUCCCUAGCUGGUCGGAGAGGAAGACCAGCCAGCUGGGGACUUAGACACGGCCCAGACUCCUACGGUAGGCAGCAGUGGGGAAUCUUCGACAAUGGACGAAAGUCUGAGCGAGCCAUGCCGCGUGGAUGAAGAAGGUCUUCGGGUUGUAAAGCGCUGUUGUUAGAGAAGCGGUAUCCAACGAAAAAGCACCGGCUAACUCCGUGCCAGCAGCCGCGGUAAUAC